This 84-nucleotide transfer RNA is filed under the name Candidatus Proteinoplasmatales archaeon SG8-5. Its description in RNAcentral is "Euryarchaeota archaeon SG8-5 tRNA-Leu". It matches the Rfam family "tRNA". From Rfam's summary of the family: Transfer RNA (tRNA) molecules are approximately 80 nucleotides in length. Their secondary structure includes four short double-helical elements and three loops (D, anti-codon, and T loops). The record is from RNAcentral. Lineage: Archaea; Methanobacteriati; Methanobacteriota; Candidatus Proteinoplasmatales.
GUGGGGGUAGCCAAGCUUGGCCAACGGCGCAGGACUUAAGAUCCUGUCCUUAGUGGUUCGGGGGUUCAAAUCCCCUCCCCCACA